RNAcentral lists this ribosomal RNA (497 nucleotides) under uncultured bacterium. RNAcentral describes it as "partial 16S ribosomal RNA". It matches the Rfam family "Bacterial small subunit ribosomal RNA", at positions 28 to 507 of the family's 1533-position model. The record is from RNAcentral.
GAUGAACGCUGGCGGCGUGCCUAAUACAUGCAAGUCGAGCGAACAGACGAGGAGCUUGCUCCUCUGAUGUUAGCGGCGGACGGGUGAGUAACACGUGGAUAACCUACCUAUAAGACUGGGAUAACUUCGGGAAACCGGAGCUAAUACCGGAUAACAUGUUGAACCGCAUGGUUCAACAGUGAAAGACGGUCUUGCUGUCACUUAUAGAUGGAUCCGCGCCGCAUUAGCUAGUUGGUAAGGUAACGGCUUACCAAGGCAACGAUGCGUAGCCGACCUGAGAGGGUGAUCGGCCACACGGGAACUGAGACACGGUCCAGACUCCUACGGGAGGCAGCAGUAGGGAAUCUUCCGCAAUGGGCGAAAGCCUGACGGAGCAACGCCGCGUGAGUGAAGAAGUUCUUCGGAUCGUAAAACUCUGUUAUUAGGGAAGAACAAAUGUGUAAGUAACUAUGCACGUCUUGACGGUACCUAAUCAGAAAGCCACGGCUAACUACGUG